Molecule: long non-coding RNA, 241 nt
Filed under: Malus domestica (apple)
Lineage: Eukaryota; Viridiplantae; Streptophyta; Magnoliopsida; Rosales; Rosaceae
Description: long non-coding RNA (MDOM_LNC005713)
Source: RNAcentral
GAGGGAUGUGGAAUUUGCCAAAAAUAGUGGGUGGUACUAUUUGAUUCAAAGACCCAAUCAAAUAGCUUUAAACAAACAAUCUAAUACGAUUUCUGUUAUGUUAUGUAGUGAACGACAUGCCUAAAAUUAUACCCACCAUUAUACUUGACAAAAAGGGCCUUAAGGGCCAACGUUUCCUUGCUUGGUAUCGCCACAUUGAGAAUGUCUCAAAGGUUAAUGACAUAUUGUAUGUGCUUAAGCA